UGACGGUACCCUUUCGAAUAAGAGGUUGCUAACUCUGUGCCAGCAGCAGCGGUAAUACAGAGACCUCGAGCGUUAUCCGGAUUUACUGGGCGUAAAGCGUCUGUAGGGGGUUUGUUAAGUUCCAAGUAAAAUCUUAAGGCUCAACUUUAAGUUCGCUUGGAAAACUAAUAAACUGGAGUCCAGCAGAGGUACAUGGAACUUGCGGUGUAGGAGUGAAAUCCGUUGAUAUCGCAAGGAACACCAAAGGCGAAGGCAUUGCACUGGGCUGGUACUGACCCUGAGAGACGAAAGCGUGGGGAGCAAAACGGAUUAGAUACCCGUGUAGUCCACGCCGUAAACGAUGGAUACUAGAUGUUCGGGGAUUCGACCCCCUGGGUGUCACAGCUAGCGCGUUAAGUAUCCCGCCUGGGAAGUACGGCCGCAAGGCUAAAACUCAAAGGAAUAGACGGGGAUCCGCACAAGCGGUGGAGCGUCUGGUUUAAUUUGAUAGUAAGCAAUAGACCUCACCAAGGUUUGACAUCCUAUGACAACCCUGGAAACAGGGCUUCCUUCGGGCAUAGUGACAGGUGCUGCAUGGUCGUCGUCAGUUCGUGCCGUGAGGUGUUCCGUUAAGUCGGGAAACGAACGAAACCCUCGUCGCAUGUUACAAAUUUCAUGCGAGACUGCCCGGGUCAACCGGGAGGAAGGCGGGGAUGACGUCAGAUCAGCAUGGCCCUUAUACCUUGGGCUACACAGGCGCUACAAUGGCCGGUACAAAGGGUUGCGAAACCGCGAGGUGAAGCUAAUCCCAUAAAGCCGGUCCAAGUUCGGAUUGGAGGCUGCAACUCGCCUCCAUGAAGUUGGAAUCGCUAGUAAUCGUGGAUCAGCCAUACCACGGUGAAUACGUUCCCGGAUCUUGUACUCACCGCCCGUCACACCAAGAGAGUUGGUAGCUCCUGAAGCGUCGCAUUAG
This 952-nucleotide ribosomal RNA is filed under the name uncultured organism. RNAcentral describes it as "bacterial SSU rRNA". It matches the Rfam family "Bacterial small subunit ribosomal RNA", at positions 470 to 1438 of the family's 1533-position model. The record is from RNAcentral.